GAAAGGAGUGCUAAUACCGGAUGUGAUCAUCGUGCCGCAUGGCAGGAUGAAGAAAGAUGGCCUCUACAAGUAAGCUAUCGCUAAAGGAUGGGCCUGCGUCUGAUUAGCUAGUUGGUAGUGUAACGGACUACCAAGGCGAUGAUCAGUAGCCGGUCUGAGAGGAUGAACGGCCACAUUGGGACUGAGACACGGCCCAAACUCCUACGGGAGGCAGCAGUGGGGAAUCUUCCGCAAUGGACGAAAGUCUGACGGAGCAACGCCGCGUGAGUGAUGAAGGAUUUCGGUCUGUAAAGCUCUGUUGUUUAUGACGAACGUGCAGUGUGUGAACAAUGCAUUGCAAUGACGGUAGUAAACGAGGAAGCCACGGCUAACUACGUGCCAGCAGCCGCGGUAAUACGUAGGUGGCGAGCGUUGUCCGGAAUUAUUGGGCGUAAAGAGCAUGUAGGCGGCUUAAUAAGUCGAGCGUGAAAAUGCGGGGCUCAACCCCGUAUGGCGCUGGAAACUGUUAGGCUUGAGUGCAGGAGAGGAAAGGGGAAUUCCCAGUGUAGCGGUGAAAUGCGUAGAUAUUGGGAGGAACACCAGUGGCGAAGGCGCCUUUCUGGACUGUGUCUGACGCUGAGAUGCGAAAGCCAGGGUAGCGAACGGGAUUAGAUACCCCGGUAGUCCUGGCCGUAAACGAUGGGUACUAGGUGUAGGAGGUAUCGACCCCUUCUGUG
This 716-nucleotide ribosomal RNA is filed under the name uncultured bacterium. RNAcentral describes it as "bacterial SSU rRNA". It matches the Rfam family "Bacterial small subunit ribosomal RNA", at positions 153 to 845 of the family's 1533-position model. The record is from RNAcentral.